RNAcentral lists this ribosomal RNA (468 nucleotides) under uncultured bacterium. RNAcentral describes it as "partial 16S ribosomal RNA". It matches the Rfam family "Bacterial small subunit ribosomal RNA", at positions 28 to 507 of the family's 1533-position model. The record is from RNAcentral.
GACGAACGCUGGCGGCGUGCUUAACACAUGCAAGUCGAACGGAAAGGCCCUGCUUUUGUGGGGUGCUCGAGUGGCGAACGGGUGAGUAACACGUGAGUAACCUGCCCUUGACUUUGGGAUAACUUCAGGAAACUGGGGCUAAUACCGGAUAGUAGCUCCUGCUGCAUGGUGGGGGUUGGAAAGUUUCGGCGGUUGGGGAUGGACUCGCGGCUUAUCAGCUUGUUGGUGGGGUAGUGGCUUACCAAGGCUUUGACGGGUAGCCGGCCUGAGAGGGUGACCGGCCACAUUGGGAAUGAGAUACGGCCCAGACUCAGACGGGAGGAAGCAGUGGGGAAUAUUGCACAAUGGGAGGAAGCCUGAUGCAGCAACGCCGCGUGCGGGAUGACGGCCUUCGGGUUGUAAACCGCUUUCGCCUGUGACGAAGCGUGAGUGACGGUAAUGGGUAAAGAAGCACCGGCUAACUACGUG